Trichococcus sp. is the source of this 79-nucleotide non-coding RNA. The record is from Rfam. NCBI's taxonomy places the organism in Bacteria, Bacillati, Bacillota, Bacilli, Lactobacillales, Carnobacteriaceae.
AGAGUGUUAUGAUUAUGGAACGCGUUCAGCCUUCCUAGUCUAGCUCAAGCUUCUUCCGAAGAUCGCAUGAUCUUCGGAG